UACGGUCAAAUCCCGCUGAAACACCGGUUUCUCGUUAUCACCGAAGUUAAACAGCGUAGAGCCAGGUCAGUACUUUAGAUGGGGACCGCUUGGGAACACCUGGUACUGUAAG
RNAcentral lists this ribosomal RNA (112 nucleotides) under Acanthosepion pharaonis. The record is from RNAcentral. Lineage: Eukaryota; Metazoa; Mollusca; Cephalopoda; Sepiida; Sepiidae.